GCAUACUUAGCUCAAUGGUUAGAGCAUCACUCAUGAAUGCUGAGUCUGUGGGUUUGCGUCCCACAGUACA
This 70-nucleotide transfer RNA is filed under the name Puccinia sorghi. Its description in RNAcentral is "tRNA-Ser". The record is from RNAcentral. Lineage: Eukaryota; Fungi; Basidiomycota; Pucciniomycetes; Pucciniales; Pucciniaceae.